This 329-nucleotide unclassified non-coding RNA is filed under the name soil metagenome. RNAcentral describes it as "partial contains 5.8S ribosomal RNA, internal transcribed spacer 2, and large subunit ribosomal RNA". The stretch from base 1 to 120 matches the Rfam family "5.8S ribosomal RNA", at positions 35 to 154 of the family's 154-position model. The record is from RNAcentral.
GAUGAAGAACGUAGCGAAAUGCGAUACGUAAUGUGAAUUGCAGAAUUCAGUGAAUCAUCGAGUCUUUGAACGCACAUUGCGCCCCCUGGUAUUCCGGGGGGCAUGCCUGUUCGAGCGUCAUUACAACCCUCAAGCUCUGCUUGGUGUUGGGCCCCGCCGCCCCGGCGGGCCCUAAAAUCAGUGGCGGUGCCGUCCGGCUCCGAGCGUAGUAAUUCUUCUCGCUCUGGAGGUCCGGGUGUGUGCUCGCCAGCAACCCCCAAUUUUUUUCAGGUUGACCUCGGAUCAGGUAGGGAUACCCGCUGAACUUAAGCAUAUCAAUAAGCGGAGGA